RNAcentral lists this transfer RNA (73 nucleotides) under Canis lupus familiaris (dog). It matches the Rfam family "tRNA". Rfam says of the family: Transfer RNA (tRNA) molecules are approximately 80 nucleotides in length. Their secondary structure includes four short double-helical elements and three loops (D, anti-codon, and T loops). The record is from Rfam by way of RNAcentral. Lineage: Eukaryota; Metazoa; Chordata; Mammalia; Carnivora; Canidae. RNAcentral also lists the same sequence under 2 other names.
GCCUGGCUAGCUCAGUUGGAGGGGCAUGUGACUCUUGACCUCAGGGUUGUGAGUUUAAGUCCCACGUUGGGCA